UACGGAGGGUGCAAGCGUUAUCCGGAAUCAUUGGGUUUAAAGGGUCCGCAGGCGGAUUUGUAAGUCAGUGGUGAAAUCCUACAGCUUAACUGUAGAACUGCCAUUGAUACUGCAAGUCUUGAAUUCGGUCGAAGUGGGCGGAAUAUGUCAUGUAGCGGUGAAAUGCUUAGAUAUGACAUAGAACACCGAUAGCGAAGGCAGCUCACUAGGCCUGGAUUGACGCUCAUGGACGAAAGCGUGGGUAGCGAACAGG
Molecule: ribosomal RNA, 253 nt
Filed under: uncultured prokaryote
Description: partial 16S ribosomal RNA
Rfam family: Bacterial small subunit ribosomal RNA
Source: RNAcentral